GAUGAACGCUGGCGGCGUGCCUAAUACAUGCAAGUCGAGCGGACAGACGAGGCGCUUGCUCCUCUGACGUUAGCGGCGGACGGGUGAGUAACGCGUGUAUAACCUCCCUAUAAGACUGGUAUAACUUCGGGACACCGGAUCUUAUCCCGGAGAAUAUAUUGCACCGCAGGGGGCAUUAGUGAGAGACGGUGUUGCUGUAACGUAUCGAUGGUUCCGCGCCGCAUUAGGUAGUUGUUAAGGUAACGGCUUACCACGGCUACGAUGCGUAGCCGAGCGGAGAGGGUGAUAGCCCGCACGGGAACUGAGACACGGUCCAGACGCCUAAGGGAGGCAGCAGUCGGGAACGGGACGCAAUGGGGGAAAGCCUGACGGAGCAAGGCCAAGUGAGUGAUGAAGGUCUUCGGAUCGGAAAACUCUGUUACUAGGGAAGAACAAAUGUGUACGUAACUAUGCACGUCUUGACGGUACUGAAUCAGAAAGCAACGGCUAACUACGUG
RNAcentral lists this ribosomal RNA (497 nucleotides) under uncultured bacterium. RNAcentral describes it as "partial 16S ribosomal RNA". It matches the Rfam family "Bacterial small subunit ribosomal RNA", at positions 28 to 507 of the family's 1533-position model. The record is from RNAcentral.